UCAGUUGUGAAAGUUUGCGGCUCAACCGUAAAAUUGCAGUUGAUACUGGAUAUCUUGAGUGCAGUUGAGGCAGGCGGAAUUCGUGGUGUAGCGGUGAAAUGCUUAGAUAUCACGAAGAACUCCGAUUGCGAAGGCAGCCUGCUAAGCUGCAACUGACAUUGAGGCUCGAAAGUGUGGGUAUCAAACAGGAUUAGAUACCCUGGUAGUCCACACGGUAAACGAUGAAUACUCGCUGUUUGCGAUAUACAGCAAGCGGCCAAGCGAAAGCGUUAAGUAUUCCACCUGGGGAGUACGCCGGCAACGGUGAAACUCAAAGGAAUUGACAGGGGCCCGCACAAGCGGAGGAACAUGUGGUUUAAUUCGAUGAUACGCGAGGAACCUUACCCGGGCUUAAAUUGCAGAUGAAUUACGGUGAAAGCCGUAAGCCGCAAGGCAUCUGUGAAGGUGCUGCAUGGUUGUCGUCAGCUCGUGCCGUGAGGUGUCGGCUUAAG
This 491-nucleotide ribosomal RNA is filed under the name uncultured bacterium. RNAcentral's name for it is "bacterial SSU rRNA". It matches the Rfam family "Bacterial small subunit ribosomal RNA", at positions 588 to 1084 of the family's 1533-position model. The record is from RNAcentral.